RNAcentral lists this ribosomal RNA (339 nucleotides) under uncultured Pseudomonadota bacterium. RNAcentral describes it as "bacterial SSU rRNA". It matches the Rfam family "Bacterial small subunit ribosomal RNA", at positions 29 to 351 of the family's 1533-position model. The record is from RNAcentral. Lineage: Bacteria; Pseudomonadati; Pseudomonadota.
AACGAACGCUGGCGGCGUGCUUAACACAUGCAAGUCGAACGCGAAAGCUUCUUUCGGGAAGCGAGUAGAGUGGCGCACGGGUGAGUAACGCGUAAGUAAUCUACCCCUGUAUCUGGAAUAACCUACCGAAAGGUGAGCUAAUACCGGAUACGUUUGAGAUGAUGCGAAUGAUUUCACAGAAAGGAGGCCUCUGCAUAUGCUUCCGUACAGGGAUGAGCUUGCGUACCAUUAGCUAGUUGGCAGGGUAAUGGCCUACCAAGGCGACGAUGGUUAGCGGGUCUGAGAGGAUGAUCCGCCACACUGGAACUGGAACACGGACCAGACUCCUACGGGUGGCAG